Molecule: transfer RNA, 34 nt
Filed under: Goniurosaurus liboensis
Lineage: Eukaryota; Metazoa; Chordata; Lepidosauria; Squamata; Eublepharidae
Description: partial tRNA-Pro
Source: RNAcentral
CCGGCCCCCUUAUAAUAUAUGUAGAUUAAUAAGA